This 62-nucleotide transfer RNA is filed under the name Platorchestia sp. AKP-2018. Its description in RNAcentral is "tRNA-Cys". The record is from RNAcentral. Lineage: Eukaryota; Metazoa; Arthropoda; Malacostraca; Amphipoda; Talitridae.
AAUUAGAUAAUGUAUUAAAACAUAUUAAGUUGCAAACUUAAAAAAGAGAUUUUCUCUAAUUU